RNAcentral lists this ribosomal RNA (238 nucleotides) under uncultured bacterium. RNAcentral describes it as "partial 16S ribosomal RNA". It matches the Rfam family "Bacterial small subunit ribosomal RNA", at positions 96 to 334 of the family's 1533-position model. The record is from RNAcentral.
UGGCGGACGGGUGAGUAACGCGUGGGUAACCUGCCUUGUACAGGGGGAUAACAGUUGGAAACGGCUGCUAAUACCGCAUAAGCGCACAGUACCGCAUGGUACCGUGUGAAAAACUCCGGUGGUAUGAGAUGGACCCGCGUCUGAUUAGCUAGUUGGUGGGGUAACGGCCUACCAAGGCGACGAUCAGUAGCCGACCUGAGAGGGUGACCGGCCACAUUGGGACUGAGACACGGCCCAA